Trichomycterus rosablanca is the source of this 83-nucleotide small nucleolar RNA. RefSeq annotates it as small nucleolar RNA SNORD11B. The record is from RefSeq and is a predicted model, not a curated record. NCBI's taxonomy places the organism in Eukaryota, Metazoa, Chordata, Actinopteri, Siluriformes, Trichomycteridae. The transcript has a single exon.
GACAAUCGUUGAUGAUUCUGACCUUGUGUCAAGACCCUGAAAUCUGUGAGGGUGUCUAAGUCACUACCUCAUCUGAGAUUGUA